RNAcentral lists this ribosomal RNA (499 nucleotides) under uncultured bacterium. RNAcentral's name for it is "partial 16S ribosomal RNA". It matches the Rfam family "Bacterial small subunit ribosomal RNA", at positions 28 to 507 of the family's 1533-position model. The record is from RNAcentral.
GACGAACGCUGGCGGCGUGCCUAAUACAUGCAAGUCGAGCGAAGUUUUUCUGGUGCUUGCACCGGAAAAACUUAGCGGCGAAUGGGUGAGUAACACGUAAAGAACCUGCCUCAUAGACUGGGACAACUAUUGGAAACGAUAGCUAAUACCGGAUAAUAGCAUUAACUGCAUGGUUGAUGUUUAAAAGUUGGUUUUGCUAACACUAUGAGAUGGCUUUGCGGUGCAUUAGCUAGUUGGUGGGGUAAAGGCCUACCAAGGCGACGAUGCAUAGCCGACCUGAGAGGGUGAUCGGCCACACUGGGACUGAGACACGGCCCAGACUCCUACGGGAGGCAGCAGUAGGGAAUCUUCCGCAAUGGGCGAAAGCCUGACGGAGCAACGCCGCGUGAGUGAAGAAGGAUUUCGGUUCGUAAAGCUCUGUUGUUAGGGAAGAAUGAUUGUGUAGUAACUAUACACAGUAGAGACGGUACCUAACCAGAAAGCCACGGCUAACUACGUG